CGUUCGGGUAUUUUGAAUUUAUUAUUUAAUUUACGCUAUAGCGUGUCAGUGGUGUAUCUAGGAUGAUCGUGUUUAGAAUUAAAUCUUAUUGUUUACGGAAGAAUUUGACUAACUUGUUGAAACUUUCUUCUAGACAUGGCAAACAAGUUGAGGCUUCCAACCUAGAAAAUAAAGGUACUGUUGACCUCUGAAGCUCAAACAGAGAUUUUUUGCAGAUCUUGCCAAGAUGUGACUACACCAUGGGGACAAAAGAUGGGCCAUUUUGUCUCAAAAUGCACCUUCCAGUUUAUUGAUUUUACAGUGAGCAUGCGCCAUCUUUGACACACUAGCGAUAAUUUGAUCAGCCCCUCAUCGUCCAGAUAUGAGAAAAUAUGCAUGAGAACUAAACGAGAUACUGUGGGUAAUUAAUGUGAGACUGAAUGUGGAAGUAGUCAGUUCUAGUGAACCCUUGUUCACAUCAAUAAGAGCAAACAGCAUUAGCUGGUUGAAGUGUUUCCUAGUUUUGAAUUAAAUGAGAAUUGAGAGUGAUAUCUUUAUGACACUUAUUGUCAUGUGCGCUUUGAAAGUGACCAAAAUUAAUUGAUAUUCUAAGAUAGAAAGAAUUGAUAUGUUUUUCCUCUGACAUGAACAAAAGUAGAAAAUAUUUGAGAAAAUAGCGAAUGACAACAUUCAGACCACAACAAUGUAUCACGCAACUGGACAAAUAAAAUCAAAUUACACACUUAGUGGAACAUUGUGUGAAAUAGCUACUUGGCAAAAACGUUUGAAUAAAGUCUACCAAAGCUUAAAUGAUUUGAAAUAAAUUGAUUCACCACCUACUUUGAGUGGGCAAACAUUUAA
Long non-coding RNA from Xenia sp. Carnegie-2017, 840 nucleotides. RefSeq lists it as uncharacterized. The transcript has 2 exons. NCBI's taxonomy places the organism in Eukaryota, Metazoa, Cnidaria, Anthozoa, Malacalcyonacea, Xeniidae. The record is from RefSeq and is a predicted model, not a curated record.